RNAcentral lists this long non-coding RNA (384 nucleotides) under Scleropages formosus (Asian bonytongue). Its description in RNAcentral is "lncRNA (ENSSFOG00015029066.1)". Lineage: Eukaryota; Metazoa; Chordata; Actinopteri; Osteoglossiformes; Osteoglossidae. The record is from RNAcentral.
GUGUGGGUGUCGGUUGGGUAGGCCGUCUUGUCCAGAACUUUAAUGAACCCCAGUCCUUAAGUUGGAAAUCAUCUCUGUGCUCCUUCGGGUCAUUAUAGAUGUGUUGCCACAUAGAGGAGGAAUGCAACAGGUAAGAAGAUAUGAAGAAGGUGUGGAGCAGAUAUGAGAAGGAGGAGACGAUAUGGGAAAAGGAGCAGAAGGCAUGGAGAAAGCAUGACAAGAUCAAGACAAACUGCAGCUUCCCAUCAGGAACUUGACAGAGGCAGUUGACACACCCUCCUGCACCUCACCUGUCAGCUUUCUCUUUUGUUCAGGGUUUCAUGUCACAAGUUUUAUCAUGCAGGACUGUAGAUAAAUGUCAAAAGAUCUUAAUAUAAAAAGAAG